GCGCCCCGGGCGCCCCGAACCUCGGGCGUGUGCAAGGACCCCCGGGGCCACCGCCUGGGCGGCCGGCGCCUCAGCCCCCCAGCGGAAGGGAAAGGAGACUGAGGAGGGGAAGAAGCAGUAAACAGCUCCAGCGUCCGGGCCUCGCCUCAGAGAGAGCCCCGCUCCCCAGGCCCCGCCGCCGGCCGUCGGGACCCCCCGCUGUCCCCGGGGCCGCGCUGCCCGGGACCCGGAGCACCCGAGGGGAGUCCAGGCCUCUCCCCGGAUGGCUCUGGAAGCUCCUGAAGCGACCCGGGCAGCGGAGAACGGGGAAGUCAGGACUUACCUGUCAUUACUUUCUACGCCAUCUUGGAUCCACUUGUCAACGUCCCCACAAAGCAUUAUGGGGAUGCAAGGACGCAAGCAUGAGCACGCCUGAGAGCGGUCCCCCAGCACCGGGUCCUUGCUAACGCUCGCGCUUCCCGCCACGCGGCAUCCGCCACGCACGUCGCACCCGCGCGGGGGGACAGUGCCUGUAUCCUGGGAAGCCAGUCUGGGUCCCCCGGAUUCCAGGAACUCUGUGAACGCCGAGUCAACCCGCCAGCGAAGCGCAAUUGGGGUUUGAGAAGGUUAAGCUAAACGCAACUUUACCCCCAGUUUUCUCAGCUUUGCGCAGUCUCCUCCUCGAACCGGGUAAUGUGAUCCGCGACCCUCUAGGUCGGAGGACCCCUCCCCUAGGAAUGUGGCUUUCGGCUCUGUAGGGUCCACUGGUUAGGGUCCAAACUGCGGACUGUGACUUUCCCCGGCAGGGCGGCGACCCCAGGCGGCGGGACAAGGUAGAAGGAGGGCGCCACGCUGGCUCGGGGCAGAGAGAGGAGGGGGAUGUCCAGAGUGGCUCCGAGGCGACUAGGGCGCAGGAAGUAGGAGGCGACCGUGCGCCGGCUACAGACCUCAACGAGCAUCCCGCGGGCAUCUGCUUUCUCGCUGCAAGACAAGCCGCGGGCUCUCUCCGCCCCUCCGGUUUGCUUCGGGCGUGCGACACCUAGCCCAGGUGACCAACCCCGUUGCUCCCUGAAUUACCAGCUCCUUGCAGCCCUUGUCCUGCCAGAAAUGGAGGUCUGUUGAUUAACUCCCCACCCCCACCCUGUACGUUCCCUUUCCAAAGCCCCCAGUGUCAGCAUUGCUGAGUUCGGGGACCUCCGGUUGCUUGCCUACCCCGAACAAGAUUUGGUGUUCAAAAGAAAAUCCUCCCAAGA
This is a non-coding RNA of Peromyscus maniculatus bairdii (prairie deer mouse), 1232 nucleotides long. Lineage: Eukaryota; Metazoa; Chordata; Mammalia; Rodentia; Cricetidae. The record is from RefSeq and is a predicted model, not a curated record.